CUCAUCCGAUCUGUUCAAUUAUAUCGAACAGGCUGUCAGCCGACGACUAUUCACAGGCGCGAUCCCACUACUGCUCGACACGGGGUCUUUUGCCUGCUGCGUUUCCGCCCUGGGCCGAAGCGACCCUCCUUAGACAACCUGGUCCCGAUGAGCUCCCU
Molecule: long non-coding RNA, 158 nt
Organism: Octopus sinensis (East Asian common octopus)
Lineage: Eukaryota; Metazoa; Mollusca; Cephalopoda; Octopoda; Octopodidae
Exons: 3
Source: RefSeq, a predicted model, not a curated record